This 436-nucleotide ribosomal RNA is filed under the name uncultured Oscillibacter sp. Its description in RNAcentral is "bacterial SSU rRNA". It matches the Rfam family "Bacterial small subunit ribosomal RNA", at positions 341 to 792 of the family's 1533-position model. The record is from RNAcentral. Lineage: Bacteria; Bacillati; Bacillota; Clostridia; Eubacteriales; Oscillospiraceae.
ACGGAAGGCAGCAGUGGGGAAUAUUGGGCAAUGGGCGCAAGCCUGACCCAGCAACGCCGCGUGAAGGAAGAAGGCUUUCGGGUUGUAAACUUCUUUUGUCAGGGAAGAGUAGAAGACUGUACCUGGCGAAUAAGCCACGGCUAACUACGUGCCAGCAGCCGCGGUAAUACGUAGGUGGCAAGCGUUGUCCGGAUUUACUGGGUGUAAAGGGCGUGUAGCCGGGUCGGUAAGUCAGAUGUGAAAUCCACGGGCUCAACUCGUGAACUGCAUUUGAAACUGCUGAUCUUGAGUAUCGGAGAGGUAAGUGGAAUUCCUAGUGUAGCGGUGAAAUGCGUAGAUAUUAGGAGGAACACCAGUGGCGAAGGCGACUUACUGGACUGUAACUGACGUUGAAGCACGAAAGUGUGGGGAGCAAACAGGAUUAGAUACCCUGGUA